RNAcentral lists this transfer RNA (58 nucleotides) under Metacrangonyx goulmimensis. Its description in RNAcentral is "transfer RNA Cysteine". The record is from RNAcentral. Lineage: Eukaryota; Metazoa; Arthropoda; Malacostraca; Amphipoda; Metacrangonyctidae.
UAAUAUGUAGUGAUACCACGAUAAGUUGCAAACUUAUAAAAGCUAAUAGCCCUAUUAA